Molecule: unclassified non-coding RNA, 425 nt
Filed under: soil metagenome
Description: partial contains 5.8S ribosomal RNA, internal transcribed spacer 2, and large subunit ribosomal RNA
Rfam family: 5.8S ribosomal RNA (bases 1-120)
Source: RNAcentral
GAUGAAGAACGUAGUGAAAUGCGAUAAGUAGUGUGAAUUGCAGAAUUCCGUGAAUCAUCGAAUCUUUGAACGCACAUUGCGCCUUCUGGUAUUCCGGAAGGCAUGCCUGUUCGAGAGUCAUUAACAACCGUUUCGAUCCCUUUCUGUCAGAAAUUACAAAGAGGAAAAGGGUUUGGUUAUGGUGGAGGAGGGAAAGGGAGCGUUUAGCCUGUAAAAAAAGAGGCUGUGUUCCGCCUCCCCCCCAAAAUUGUACAGGCGGUCGUGUGCGCCCACGCAUCGAGGUGUUGUAAAAGCUGCCACGGCACUUUUCACCUGUGCAGUGCGAGAUUGGCCAGCCGGUUUAAAAACCCCUCCAAACAAUCAAAGGUUGACCUCGGAUCAGGUAGGGAUACCCGCUGAACUUAAGCAUAUCAAUAAGCGGAGGA